GAUGAAGAACGUAGCGAAAUGCGAUAAGUAAUGCGAAUUGCAGAAUUUCCGUGAGUCAUCGAAUCUUUGAACGCACAUUGCGCCCUGUGGUAUUCCGCAGGGCAUGCCUGUUCGAGCGUCAUUUCAACCCUCAAGCUCUGCUUGGUGUUGGGCCCUGCCCGCUCGCGGCCGGCCCUAAAGACAGUGGCGGUGCCGUCUGGCUCUAAGCGUGGUACAUCUCUCGCUCUGGUGCCCGGCGGUGUCCUGCCAGAACCCCCCAACUCUGUGGUUGACCUCGGAUCAGGUAGGGAUACCCGCUGAACUUAAGCAUAUCAAUAAGCGGAGGA
This 326-nucleotide unclassified non-coding RNA is filed under the name soil metagenome. RNAcentral's name for it is "partial contains 5.8S ribosomal RNA, internal transcribed spacer 2, and large subunit ribosomal RNA". The stretch from base 1 to 121 matches the Rfam family "5.8S ribosomal RNA", at positions 35 to 154 of the family's 154-position model. The record is from RNAcentral.